UACGGAGGGUGCAAGCGUUAUCCGGAUUCACUGGGUUUAAAGGGUGCGUAGGCGGGCAUUUAAGUCAGUGGUGAAAUGCCUGAGCUUAACUUGGGAACUGCCAUUGAUACUAUUUGUCUUGAAUGUCGUGGAGGUUAGCGGAAUAUGUCAUGUAGCGGUGAAAUGCUUAGAUAUGACAUAGAACACCUAUUGCGAAGGCAGCUUACUACACGAUCAUUGACGCUGAGGCACGAAAGCGUGGGGAGCAAACAGG
This 253-nucleotide ribosomal RNA is filed under the name uncultured bacterium. RNAcentral describes it as "partial 16S ribosomal RNA". It matches the Rfam family "Bacterial small subunit ribosomal RNA", at positions 524 to 776 of the family's 1533-position model. The record is from RNAcentral.